This is an RNA transcript of Elaeis guineensis (African oil palm), 1232 nucleotides long. It is a transcript of the gene named large ribosomal subunit protein mL43, with no coding region annotated. The record is from RefSeq and is a predicted model, not a curated record. NCBI's taxonomy places the organism in Eukaryota, Viridiplantae, Streptophyta, Magnoliopsida, Arecales, Arecaceae.
CAUACUCCGGUUUGUUCCUUAGGUUGGAUGGCAAACUGGAGCAUGGAGGGUUCAAUACAUGUCACAAUGCUGAUAUCUCAUCUCGACGAUGCCGAACUCGGCUAAGAAUUACUGGGAGUUUGGUACCAGCAACAUUGGCUUAACUCCUAUCUUCAUUACAGUUCAGGAUCUCAAUGAUCUCCGGUAGAUAUUGCUUGUAUUGUUCUGUAAAGAAAAAGAAAGCUAGCAUCCGUAAAUACCAAAUCCCGCCACACCGGGAAAAUAAACAUUUUAUUUAUUCCUAAAAUACCUUGAACCCUAAUACCCUCCCCAUUUCGCACGCCCCCCCCAUCGCUCGACGCCCGGUACCCUGUUCAUCCGCUAUUUUCCUAACCCCAAUCCCCCUUCCCCUAUUCCAUAUACCCCGUCCGCCCGCCGGCCCUCCUGACUGCCGGCUUCCUCCCCCUCCGUCGACAGGCGGCGGCGGUGGCCCUGCGAGCGUCGGCCUCCUCCAAGCUCCGCGCGGCCAGGAAGGGAAGCUCUCUCAUUGAUCGCCGAUCCUCGCACGAGUUAACAUCCUAGUGACUUCAGUUUCAAAUAAAUGGCACUGCGAGGUGUUUGGCAACUUCAGAAAUUGAUAGUUAGCUACUGUGACUGGGGAGGAAGUAGCAGGGGGAUCAGGGCCUUUAUGGAAACUCAUCUGCCGAUGUUUAAGGAAAAUAAUCCACAGCUAGAGGUGGUAACAGAGCUUACUCGCGGUCAGCACCCUCAUUUGAAAGGCCUCUAUAGGAACCAUAACCAGCGGGUGAUUUGUGUCAAAAAUAUGACACCAGAGGACAUACUAUUGCAUGCAACCAGGCUAAGGAAUGCUUUGGGUAGGAAGGUCGUGAAGCUUAGGACAAGGCAUGUCACCAAGCACCCAAGUGCUCAAGGCACGUGGACAACUGCGCUCGAAUUUUGAGUGUGGACAACCUAGUUUCUUUUAGAGAAGGAAAAUGAUAUUACUGAUUUGGGGUUUUUCAAGUGAAUUGAGAGUUUGCAAGAGAGAUUAGAGUAUUACUUGACUAAUUGUCAAAAUUGUGUUCGGACAAAAGUAUCCAAAUUUGGCACCACCGACAAAUUGUUAUAUUAUUGAAGGAAUUAAGUUCAAGAAUCAAGCAACGUAUUUGAGGCUUUUGGAGGUUCUAUAAUGAACUCUGCAUAAGAGUUGCAUAACAUUUGAUUAAAUUAUAUUUAUAAUGCAAGGCAUACCA